UGGCUCAGACAGUAAAGCGUCUGCCUACAAUGCAGGAGACCAGGGUUCAAUCCCUG
Ovis aries (sheep) is the source of this 56-nucleotide transfer RNA. It matches the Rfam family "tRNA", at positions 8 to 63 of the family's 71-position model. Rfam says of the family: Transfer RNA (tRNA) molecules are approximately 80 nucleotides in length. Their secondary structure includes four short double-helical elements and three loops (D, anti-codon, and T loops). NCBI's taxonomy places the organism in Eukaryota, Metazoa, Chordata, Mammalia, Artiodactyla, Bovidae. The record is from Rfam.